GACGAACGCUGGCGGCGUGCUUAACACAUGCAAGUCGAACGAAGAGCGAUGGAAGCUUGCUUCUACCAAUCUUAGUGGCGAACGGGUGAGUAACGCGUAAUCAACCUGCCCUUCAGAGGGGGACAACAGUUGGAAACGACUGCUAAUACCGCAUACGAUCUAAUCUCGGCAUCGAGGAUAGAUGAAAGGUGGCCUCUACAUGUAAGCUAUCACUGAAGGAGGGGAUUGCGUCUGAUUAGCUAGUUGGAGGGGUAACGGCCCACCAAGGCGAUGAUCAGUAGCCGGUCUGAGAGGAUGAACGGCCACAUUGGGACUGAGACACGGCCCAGACUCCUACGGGAGGCAGCAGUGGGGAAUCUUCCGCAAUGGACGAAAGUCUGACGGAGCAACGCCGCGUGAGUGAUGACGGCCUUCGGGUUGUAAAGCUCUGUUAAUCGGGACGAAAGGCCUUCUUGCGAAUAGUGAGAAGGAUUGACGGUACCGGAAUAGAAAGCCACGGCUAACUACGUG
RNAcentral lists this ribosomal RNA (510 nucleotides) under uncultured bacterium. RNAcentral describes it as "partial 16S ribosomal RNA". It matches the Rfam family "Bacterial small subunit ribosomal RNA", at positions 28 to 507 of the family's 1533-position model. The record is from RNAcentral.